Molecule: ribosomal RNA, 400 nt
Filed under: uncultured bacterium
Lineage: Bacteria
Description: bacterial SSU rRNA
Rfam family: Bacterial small subunit ribosomal RNA
Source: RNAcentral
UCGAGAAUAUUGGUCAAUGGGGGAAACCCUGAACCAGCGACGCCGCGUGCUCGAAGAAGCCCUUCGGGGUGUAAAGAGCUUUUAUGGAGGAGGAAUUCGCCGCAAGGCGAAUGACGGUACUCCAGGAAUAAGGGGGUGCAAAUUCUGUGCCAGCAGCCGCGGUAAGACAGAACCCCCGAGCGUUAUCCGGAUUUAUUGGGCGUAAAGGGUCCGUAGGUGGUUUGAUAAGUCUGACGUAAAAGCCUUUGGGCUUAACCUAAGGGAGGCGCCAGAGACUAUCAAACUAGAGGGCGUUAGAGGCUGAUAGAACGUUCGGUGUAGGGGUGAAAUCCGUUGAUAUCGAACGGAAUACCAAAAGCGAAAGCAUUCAGCUGGGGCGGCCCUGACACUGAGGGACGAA